This 611-nucleotide ribosomal RNA is filed under the name uncultured bacterium. Its description in RNAcentral is "bacterial SSU rRNA". It matches the Rfam family "Bacterial small subunit ribosomal RNA", at positions 338 to 951 of the family's 1533-position model. The record is from RNAcentral.
CCUACGGGAGGCAGCAGUGAGGAAUAUUGGACAAUGGGCGCAAGCCUGAUCCAGCCAUGCCGCGUGCAGGAAGACGGUCCUAUGGAUUGUAAACUGCUUUUGUACAGGAAGAAACACUCCCUCGUGAGGGAGCUUGACGGUACUGUAAGAAUAAGGAUCGGCUAACUCCGUGCCAGCAGCCGCGGUAAUACGGAGGAUCCAAGCGUUAUCCGGAAUCAUUGGGUUUAAAGGGUCCGUAGGCGGUUUAAUAAGUCAGUGGUGAAAUCUGGUCGCUCAACGAUCAAACGGCCAUUGAUACUGUUAGACUUGAAUUAUUAGGAAGUAACUAGAAUAUGUAGUGUAGCGGUGAAAUGCUUAGAUAUUACAUGGAAUACCAAUUGCGAAGGCAGGUUACUACUAAUGGAUUGACGCUGAUGGACGAAAGCGUGGGGAGCGAACAGGAUUAGAUACCCUGGUAGUCCACGCCGUAAACGAUGGAUACUAGCUGUUGGGCGCAAGUUCAGUGGCUAAGCGAAAGUGAUAAGUAUCCACCUGGGGAGUAACGUUCGCAAGAAUGAAACUUCAAAGGAAUUGACGGCUUGAGACGNGCGAGACGACGACGAGGGAGGAGG